AUGAAUCUUAAUGUCCGCGUUACUCAUCCAUGUGCAGAGGGGAAUAGCAGGUUAUGCGUCUCGGUGAGAGACUACUACUGUUACAUGCUCCAGACACGACCUGGGAUAUUCAAUCCCAUACUCUGUGGAGCACGAUUGCUCCAGCAAUGGGGGGUAGACAUGUACAUCAAGAUUGAGAGUUGUAGGUUGAAAUGGUACAGGAAGAACCAGACAAAGAUCCGUGCUGACCUGUAUAAAGGAGUUGUUGAUGCAAUUACAUCCGGGGAGACCCGGGCAAGCGUUGUUGGAGUAAGGAUGGUGCUCCCUGGAACGUACCCAGGUGGCGACCGCGACAUGAAGCGGAGCCAUAUGGAUGCCAUGGCAAUUGUCCAUACCUACGGGAAGCCUGACAUCUUCUUGACCAUGACCUGCAACCCUAACUGGGAAGAGAUAACGAAUGAGUUGUUUCCUGGCCAGACAGCGCAAGACCGACCUGAUCUUGUGGCUCAUGUGUUCCAUGGCAAGCUAGAGGCUAUGAAAGAGAUGUUGUUCAAGAAGAAUAUCCUGGGUGUUGUUGUCGCACAUGUAUACGUAGUCGAGUUCCAGAAGAGGGGCCUCCCCCAUGCACACUUUUUGUUGAUCAUGGAUUCUGCCUAUAAGCUUGUCGUUCCAGAGCAGUACGACCGGCUCAUUUCUGCCGAGCUCCCAGACAAGCAGAAGUAUCCUGAACUCCACGCAUUGGUGGUGAAACAUAUGAUGCACGGACCAUGCGGUGCUCUCAACCCAAAAAAUGUGUGCAUGCAACAGAACGAGUGCAAGUGCAGAUACCCGCGGCCGUUCAAUGAAAACACAACCCAGGGCAAGGACUCAUACCCAGUUUAUCGUCAUCGAGAUAAUGGUCGGCAGGCUAAGGUCCGGAGUAAAAUGUUGGACAACAGAUGGGUUGUGCCGUAUAACCCUUACCUUCUGCAGAUGUUCAAUUGCCACAUCAACGUUGAGGUUUGCUCUAGCAUAAAUGCCGUCAAAUACCUUUACAAGUACAUAUACAAGGGCCAUGAUAGGGCUUCUUUCAGCAUCGACCAGCCCGACGCCGAUGGUAAUAUUGAUGAGAUCAAAAGAUACGUAGACGCGAGGUGGGUUACUCCUCCAGAGGCGAUGUGGAGGAUAUUUGGCUUCCCCUUGUGUGCCAAUGACCCGCCUGUCCUACAGUUGCCUCUUCAUCUCCCGAAUAUGCACAGGGUGGCAUUCAAUGAGCAAGCUCACUUGACCGACGUAGUCGCCUCUGAGAAUGCUUCCAAAUCCAUGUUGACAGAGUAUUUCAAAGCUAACCAAAACCACCCGUGGGCUAGGAAUAUAUUGUACAAGGAUUUUCCUGGAAGGUUCACAUGGCAGAAGGGUAAGAAGUAUUGGAAAGAGCGGGUGGAGCAUUAUCAGAUAGGUCGAAUUGUGUCUGCCAAUCCUGCAGAGGAGGAGCGAUACUAUCUGCGUGUGCUGCUAAACCAUGUUGCUGGCAAGACAUCCUAUGAGGACCUGCUCACCGUGGAUGGUAGGCUAUGCGGGAGCUUUAGAGAGGUUGCCGAAAGGUUGGGACUCAUCGAGGCAGAUAACACGCUCGACGACUGUCUUACCGAGGCAGAGCAGUGGGCGAUGCCAUGUUCGCUCAGGAGGCUCUUUGCAACAAUUUUGGUGCACUGUGAGCCAGGCGACGUGCGUGGUUUAUGGGAUAGGCACUUCGAGCCUAUGUCUGAUGACUAUCGGCGAUCACACACGUACCCGAUUGAGGUGGAACAGAUGGUAUUGCUUGACAUUAUGGGUAUGUUGCAGUCCAUGGGCAAAGACAUAGCUGAUUUCGCUCUUCCAUGCAUUGACGAAGCGUUCGACCCAACCGAGGGCGAGGCCAGAGAAGUGAUCGAGGAAUCCAACGUCGAUUUUGACAUCAACGACACUAAAUUGGCUUCGUCGCUAAACUCAGAGCAAAGGGCUGCAUACGAUGAGAUACUAGCUUUUGUUGAACACAGUGAUGGGGGUGUGUUCUUUGUUGAUGGCCCGGGAGGUACAGGGAAGACCUUCCUGUACAGGGCGCUGCUCGCCAAGGUUCGAAGCGAGGGAAGCAUCGCUAUCGCUACCGCGACGUCAGGCGUCGCCGCUUCUAUCAUGCCUGGAGGCAGGACUGCCCACUCGAGGUUCAAGAUCCCAUUGAGCUGCGACGAUGGCGCCUCAUGCACCUUCACGAAGCAGAGUGGUACCGCCAAGCUACUAAGGAUGGCCUCAUUGAUACUAUGGGAUGAGGCCACCAUGACUAAGCGACAGGCGGUCGAGGCAUUGGACAACAGCAUGCGUGACAUCAUGGGAAGACGGGACCGACCCUUUGGAGGAAAAACUGUUGUGUUUGGCGGGGACUUCAGACAGGUGCUUCCGGUCGUCAGGAGGGGGUCCCGGGGUCAGAUAAUCGAUGCAACCCUCCGAAGUUCACACCUCUGGAAGGGUAUGCGCCAGCUAAGGCUCAUCACCAACAUGAGGGCUCAUAAUGACACCUGGUUUGCGGAUUACUUGCUAAGGGUAGGCAAUGGCACCGAGGAAGUUGACGAUCAAGGAAACAUACGACUCCUUGAAGAUAUUUGUGUGCCGUCUACAGGCGAGGGUGACGACCUGGAGAAGCUGAUUGAUCAUGUGUUCCCAAGACUAGAUGAGAACAUGUCCAAUCCGAAUUACAUGACUUCACGCGCAAUCCUCUCCACCACGAACGACAACGUCGACAAGAUAAACAUGCGCAUGGUAGAGCGUUUUCGGGGAGAAGAAGUAAUCUACCAUAGCUUUGAUAGUGCAGAAGACGACCCGUAUGGCUACUAUGCUCCUGAGUUCCUAAAUGGAUUGACUCCCAACGGUCUGCCUCCGCAUGCACUCAAACUGAAGCUCAACUGCCCUGUCAUACUUCUGAGGAACAUUGAUCCGGCUAAUGGUCUGUGUAACGGGACGAGGCUUGUGGUGCGAGGUUUCGAGAGGAACGCCAUCGACGCAGAAAUAGUGAUCGGACAAUAG
Molecule: ribosomal RNA, 3018 nt
Filed under: Triticum aestivum (bread wheat)
Lineage: Eukaryota; Viridiplantae; Streptophyta; Magnoliopsida; Poales; Poaceae
Description: partial small subunit ribosomal RNA
Source: RNAcentral